AAGAAUCUACAGGUCGAGCAAGUCUCGUAAAUUUCACGAUUGCGAGCCACGCUUCACGCAACCGUGUUUGCGUACUUGUGUUUCGAGUUGCGUGGUCGUGCGGAGUUAUAUUUACCAAAUUUAAAUAGGCCGUUCCAACAUGCUGUCAAAAUUAAAUCAAUAUGUCAAUAUGGCUACUGGGUGUAAAAGAUAAAUCUUAUUCUAUCUGUUCUUAAUGAGUUUUAGAUAAUUUUAGUUGUAUUUCUUUGUAAUUUUGUGUUGUACAAAGAUUAAUUUAACAUUUUCUCUGGAAGUAUUAAUUUAGAAAGAUAAUAUGCUUCAUUGGUGUUGUGUUUUGAAGUGUGAAAUGCAAAGUAAUUGUGAUAAAGUCAAGAUAAAGUUCACUUUUAAACUGAACUAAAUAAGGUAUCUGAGAGACAACAAUGGUUAAAUGCAAUACAAUGUACAGGUUUUACUAGCGAAAUGAAAAUUUUCCUGUCCUGUCUGCUGUAAUCAUUUUAUAUCUGGAAAACCAGCCGACUUAAUCGAUAAUAACAAUCUCCAGAUUGGGUUCCUUCAAUAAAUAUGGGCUAUUAACACAAUGAAAUAAGUUCGAGAAAAUCUAAAAUGGAGUGGUAUCAAAGGAGAAUUAAAGGAAAAAAUAUUCAUAUUGAAAUUAUUUAUAAGGCACUGGACUGUCUUAAAUUCUACAAUAAUACUAGAAUCAGCUGAGAGAAGUGUCUACAAAAAACCAGGAAGGAAACGGAAUAUGUGGCUACGAAAGGCAAAAGAAAGGUUUACAAAGCAAAUGUGACACAUUUUUUUGAAAUAUUUAGGAAUAUCA
Diabrotica virgifera virgifera (western corn rootworm) is the source of this 823-nucleotide long non-coding RNA. RefSeq lists it as uncharacterized. The record is from RefSeq and is a predicted model, not a curated record. NCBI's taxonomy places the organism in Eukaryota, Metazoa, Arthropoda, Insecta, Coleoptera, Chrysomelidae. The transcript has 3 exons.